Molecule: transfer RNA, 73 nt
Filed under: Mycosphaerella sp. Ston1
Lineage: Eukaryota; Fungi; Ascomycota; Dothideomycetes; Mycosphaerellales; Mycosphaerellaceae
Also listed under: 1 other name
Description: tRNA-Arg (TCG) (tRNA-Arg-TCG-1-1)
Rfam family: tRNA
About the family: Transfer RNA (tRNA) molecules are approximately 80 nucleotides in length. Their secondary structure includes four short double-helical elements and three loops (D, anti-codon, and T loops).
Source: RNAcentral
GCGCCCUUGGCCCAAUGGUUAAGGCAUCUGACUUCGAAUCAGGGGAUUGCGGGUUCGAGUCCCGUGGGGCGUU